RNAcentral lists this long non-coding RNA (566 nucleotides) under Homo sapiens (human). Its description in RNAcentral is "non-protein coding lnc-EDEM3-7:1". The record is from RNAcentral. Lineage: Eukaryota; Metazoa; Chordata; Mammalia; Primates; Hominidae.
AUUCAGGGAGCACCAAGAAGCAGACCAGAGGUCUCCUAAGCUUGACUCCUCUUCGGCAUGAGACUAAGGAAGCUCCCCAAGUUCCAGUCAGAGGUCUGAAUUUGUGAAUUUGCUGAGGCUGAUAGGACAGUGUGGGCUGUCCCUGAAAGUUGGAGGAGGUGACAACAAGGUUGGGGGCCUUCCAUAUGGGUGCCUGCUGUACCACAUAUCCAGUAAAAACAGAACAUUUACGAAUGCAGGCUUAUGGAAGAGUCUUGCCCUAACAGAAAAACAGGGAUGAGGCUGGGAAGAGGAUAAAGUUAUAGCAGGAUAAAGUUAUAAGAAGAUAACAAAGCAGGAUGACAUCACAUGGGACCAAGAAGGGGGCUGCAUCAUCCCUGGACCUGCUCCUGGGGGCUGUCGGAUUGUGGGCGUGGCCGCUUUGGAUGCCCAGGUGAGCCCUGACACAGAGGUGCUUCCUCACAUUACAGUGAGGAGAGGAUGGGGCCAGUACAAAGACUGAAGAACCAGCACUCCUCCUGGGUCCGUCUUUGCUAAGUUGAGUCAUCCCAGCCCAGGCUCAGAUG